RNAcentral lists this long non-coding RNA (1281 nucleotides) under Phoenix dactylifera (date palm). RNAcentral describes it as "long non-coding RNA (PDAC_LNC000956)". Lineage: Eukaryota; Viridiplantae; Streptophyta; Magnoliopsida; Arecales; Arecaceae. The record is from RNAcentral.
UCACAUCUAAACAACCUUAUCAAGCCCACAAGGAAUUGGCUAAAUGGAAUAAAGUAUCGCUAACAAGUUUUAAUCAUCUUCCUCUCACUCUGACAUCAACCCACACCAUCUAAAUGGGGCCUAUCAUGACUGAUCACCGAGACACACCAGUGCUGCUGGAGCAAAAUAAUCACUGUACUAAAUGCAUCAAAUUGAACAAACAUAUUAAAAAGCAGAAAGCAGACACUAGUAAUCACUAUAUACGCAAAGCGGCAAAAUUUAACAAAAAUCGAAACGUAUUGGGAACUGAACUAAUAAUCGUGAUCACAUGAAUUGUUUAGGAUUAAGUUUUGCAACGUUCUCAUUUUAGAUGGUCUGAAACAACUCUCGGUCGUGAAAAUACCAACCAUUUGCACAUUUUAUAUGAUUUAAGUAUCAAGGUUCUCGUUUUAUUAAUUUCUGCAUGAAUUCAUCGUAAAAUAAUACUAGAACCUCAUCCAAAAUGGCCAGCCGCAAAGUAUUAUUUGGAUUUUUUUUGAUCUUAUCCAAAAUCUAUCCAGCGAAUAACUGAUAUAAGACUAACCAGUGAAAAGCUAAUCGAUGCUGACCAUGGGUCGAUCAUGGUGCUUGUAAUUAGAUUUAAAUAAAUUUGAACUUCUAGCCUGACGCCUUGUAUAGUCAUAUGUUUAGUCCUACAUCAUUCGCUAGAUAGAUCUUAGGUGCCUAUUCAGGAUCAUCAUCCGCUAGAUAGAUCUUAGGUGCCUAUUCAGGAUCAAAAAAUUUAAAUGAUAGGUCCUGGGUUAAGUUGGGUUGGGGGAGAAGCGCACCCCCAUCAAGUCAUCCACCUUCCGAUCCAUUGACCACCCCGGCGAACUCCCCCGUGCUCGCAUCCUUGUCGACGCUGCCACGUCCACCUUGAACGCCGGAUCCUCGCCAGUGCCAUCACCCUGUCUUCGUUCAGCAGCCGCCGCUCUAGGAGCACCAGCACUGAACACUCCGCCACCGCCGCCCGCUCCGCCUUGAGGCCGAGGAUGCCGUGGAGGAAGCGAGGGAAGUCGACGGUGGAGAGGCCGCAGGGAGCGUCCAGAGGAGGCUGCCGUGGUACCUGCCCCACCGGCACCGGGAGCGGAGGUGGCUGGCUGUAAGGAAGAGUGGAUGCAUGAGAUUGUUGCUGACGUCGUGGAAGAAGUUGAUGUUGAAGGUGCCGGUGGAGAAGAGGACGGCGGGGAAGAGGUGGGUGACCAUCUAGUCUUGGGAGGCAAGAGCGGGGUGGGAAUGGUGGAGGCAGAUGGGGCACUGAAG